CUCCUCCUUGUCAGCAGCACCCGAGGUUUCUUCACUGCUCCUGCGACUACACUUCUAGAAAGACCCCAGACCCUGCACAGAAGGUCUGCUACCCCACAGGCUUCAUUCUACACAAUGGCUGCUGUACCCAACAGGAGCACCAUAUCACCGGAUGGCAGCAGAGCUCAAAGACUCCUGUCUGAGGUGAUGAUGACUACUGCAUUGAAGAUACCCUUAAUUAACUCCAUCUGCCUGAGAUCAAGAUCAGACACAGCCUCUCCAUUUAUGCUCAGGAUUUCAUUGCCUACUCGGAGCCCUGGCAGCAUGUGAAAGCAAAGAAAGAAAAAAAAAAGGUAAUAUAAUAUAAAAAGGGUCACAACUCAAACCUUAUGCUGGCUCCCCUUUUAUCUUUUUGCUUUGAAUUCAAAUAGCCUCAUCCUACCAGAAGUCCAUUAGAACCAAUGGGAGCUUUAUUUGUGCUGUAAUUAUACAGACUGACCUCAUGCUUGCUUACUUCGAUAGGUGCUACUCACAGUACAGCAAUCAAGUUGGUUUUGUUUAAAGAUGCUACAGAAUUGGGUGAGUGGGAGAGCAGCACAGCUUUCAAGAAGAUUAGAAUAGAGGCACCUCUCACAACCAGAUACCAUCACUAUACAGCACCAUAACACAUAUUUCAUCAGCUGUGAAGAAUAAGUCAUACAGAUCAAAUUAUUCAUGUAAAGCUUCAGCAACUAAAGAUGGAGGUUUUUAUCAGCUUUUAUAUACAUCUAACCAGUAGCAAGUGCUGUCUUACUAAGUCAGCAAAACCAAUCAGAUAUUACCAUCAGGUAGCAAAUUUAGAUCUCUGUCUCCAUUUCUCUGGGGCUAUUUUUCAGAUAGCAGAACCCACGUGAUGCCCACAUGUGCUGAUAAAGAGAGGCACAGUUUCUGGGCAGCGCAGUGGAAAAGUGCUCACAGAAAUGUAUGCAGAAAACUGCUCUGGGGAGGAAGGCUUUUUGCCAGCAAAAGUGGAAGCAAUGGGUCAUAGAAACUGAUCAAGCCCAUGAAGUUCCCUAGUGCGAGAUGAACUCUUUCUACUGCCUGUUCCUCUGUGCAAAAGCACUCAGCUGGAUGGCUGCACACAGACUUUGUCUCCAAGGGUGAAUAAGAACUGUCCCCACUACACUGAAAGGAUAAUUCAGUUACUCUGUAUACACUAUUUUUCCUACUAUUACAUACUUUCCAUGGUCUUCAGGAAAGAAAACUGUGAAUAGUAAAAGCCAAGAAAUAUUUGAGACCGCAUUACUAAAGCUCUUUCAAGUUUUUGGAUGAAAAAAAGAUAAUGAAUAGUUUUAAACACAAACAGGA
Motacilla alba alba is the source of this 1326-nucleotide long non-coding RNA. RefSeq lists it as uncharacterized. Lineage: Eukaryota; Metazoa; Chordata; Aves; Passeriformes; Motacillidae. The record is from RefSeq and is a predicted model, not a curated record. The transcript is spliced from 3 exons.